UGGGGAAUAUUGCACAAUGGGCGCAAGCCUGAUGCAGCCAUGCCGCGUGUAUGAAGAAGGCCUUCGGGUUGUAAAGUACUUUCAGCGGGGAGGAAGGGAGUAAAGUUAAUACCUUUGCUCAUUGACGUUACCCGCCGAAGAAGCACCGGCUAACUCCGUGCCAGCAGCCGCGGUAAUACGGAGGGUGCAAGCGUUAAUCGGAAUUACUGGGCGUAAAGCGCACGCAGGCGGUUUGUUAAGUCAGAUGUGAAAUCCCCGGGCUCAACCUGGGAACUGCAUCUGAUACUGGCAAGCUUGAGUCUCGUAGAGAGGGGUAGAAUUCCAGGUGUAGCGGUGAAAUGCGUAGAGAUCUGGAGGAAUACCGGUGGCGAAGGCGGCCCCCUGGACGAAGACUGACGCUCAGGUGCGAAAGCGUGGGGAGCAAACAGG
RNAcentral lists this ribosomal RNA (429 nucleotides) under Fusobacteriota bacterium. RNAcentral's name for it is "Fusobacteria bacterium partial 16S ribosomal RNA". It matches the Rfam family "Bacterial small subunit ribosomal RNA", at positions 355 to 776 of the family's 1533-position model. Lineage: Bacteria; Fusobacteriati; Fusobacteriota. The record is from RNAcentral.